GAACCAGUCAGUCUACAGAUGGUUAGAACCAGUCAGAACCAGUCAGUCUACAGAUGGUUAGAACCAGUCAGAACCAGUCAGUCUACAGACGGUUAGAACCAGUCAGAACCAGUCAGUCUACAGACGGUUAGAACCAGUCAGAACCAGUCAGUCUACAGAUGGUUAGAACCAGUCAGAACCAGUCAGUCUACAGACGGUUAGAACCAGUCAGUCUACAGACGGUUAGAACCAGUCAGAACCAGUCAGUCUACAGAUGGUUAGAACCAGUCAGAACCAGUCAGUCUACAGACGGUUAGAACCAGUCAGAACCAGUCAGUCUACAGAUGGUUAGAACCAGUCAGAACCAGUCAGUCUACAGACGGUAGGAUCCAUCUCCCCGGUGGAGGCUAAGCUCUGGAGCAUCAGGAGGGAACACGUUGCUGCUAUUUCAGACUCAGCCGGUUUGUCGAGGGAAUAAGUGUGUUUGUGUAACUGCUGUUAGAUCUGUUUCAGUCUUUAGCCAACAUCAUUUCUAGUUCCGAUCACAGUUUACUGACCUGCAGAGGUUUAAAGGUUCUGGUAACUUCUCAGCAUCCUCCUCAUUUUAAUGGAGUUAUCACCUAUCUGAGGCUUUGUUUAAAGAGGAAAGGAGCUAAAAGUCUGAGGCUACACUAGAAAAAAAAAUCUGAGCCACUGUUAAAAACUGGACUUCUAGAAGGUCCAAAAGCUGUAAGAAUCACAGUAAAUAUGUGGAAAUGAAGGUAUUUUAGCAGAUUAGUGAAGGAAAACACGUUCAUUUAAGAUUAAACUUUGUAAACAAACAUUUUUUUAAACCUACAGAUUCUUGACACAAAAAUUGCAGCCAUCAAGCUAAAGUUAGCCACAUUACUGCUUCUACAUGAAAGUUAACAUUGGCCACAUUACUACAACUACUGCUACCAUCAAAGCUAAGAUUAGUUCAGAGUGUGUUAAUUUAUCUGCUCCAUAAAAAGAAAAUUCAAAAUGUAAAAUAUAUAUAUAUCUUUUUAAAAACAAUGUCAUGUGAAACUAUCAUUAAUGUUCCUGACAAACAAACCUCAUAGGAGGGUUAACACGAUUACAAAGUUUUACAUGAUAUUAUGUGAAAUUGAACGAAACAGGACAAAAAUUGUAGAAUUGAAGUGAACUGUUAAAAAAAUAUCCUUGAAGAAUUGUUCCUGGACAUCAUGUGUCUGACAGCAGGUAGUUUCUGUCUUUGUCUAGAAUACGUUGUAGAGUAUUUGCAAAACUAGAGCAAGAGACUUCCUGUAAGGUCCUCUUAACAUUUACAAUACUCAUGCUUCUUUCCCCAAGAUAACGGGAACUAGAACCAACUCUGACCCUGAAACUGGUGCAUAAAAACAGACCAGAAUGUUAGAAGUGAUGUUUGAAGACACACGAACUUCUACUGAAUGUUCUUCCACGAUGUUCUACGUCCAAACUAACAGUGGAGCUCUGGGGUGGUGAAGUUCUUGAAUCUUCUUGGUUCCAGACUGAAGUCUUUCCACACCAUCUGAGGGACUGAGGUGAACUUUAGUCAGACUUUCAUGGUGACGUUCAGAACACCAGCAGUAGGUCAAAGUUUCCACCAGUCUGAUGGAACCAUUCAUCUUCUGCUGCUUGAAUCUUCUGUCCAGACCUCAGUCCUGAUCCCUGAACGUCAUCAGGUCAAAUAUCUAAUUAGUUUUUACUUUGGUUUGUCAUAAAACACAGUUUACAGCAGAAGUUAGUACACCUCUGUGGAAUAUCACUUAAAUGUCAAAUGAUUCCAAAGUGAAUUACCUCAAGGACUGCAUUAUUUUCUACGUGGAACAGCAGAACAUUUCUACUGAACAACAAAAAAGAAACUCUUCAUGAAGGUAGUAGUCAAAGUUCAGCCACAAAGUAGAAACUAAACUGAGUCCAGCUGUGAUUCCAGUCAGUCUAACUGAUGAACAUGGUUCUAAAAGGAGCUGAGAACAAGAGAAUGUUCUCAGCUCUGGACCUAUGGACUGGAUCUAUCUAUGUCUGCAUCAUGGCUCCACAUGGAGAAGAACUGAACAGAGGAAGAGAAACAUCUGAGGAGUCAUAGUUCCUGCAUUAUCAGAGGUCUAGUACCACUAAUCAGGAGGUCUAGAAGGAGUCAUAGUUCCACUAAUCAGGAGGUCUAGAAGGAGUCAUAGUUCCACUAAUCAGGAGGUCUAGAAGGAGUCAUAGCUCCACUAAUCAGGAGGCUCUAACUCUAACCCAGUUAUGUUCCUGAAGAUGUUCCUGGUUGUUUGGUGUCUUUGUGAUGUGGUGGGGUGUGUUUUCCUACGGGGGUAGGUCAGUGACAUUUAGGAUUUCCAUUUAUCCAAGAUGUUCCAGCAGAACACCACCUAGAACCAAUAUGAUGGAUGUUGUUCACCUGUCAGUGGGUCUAAUGUUGCAGCUGAUCUCUGUACAUAAAUAAAUAAAACCCAGACUAUGUUAGACCAUCAUUAAAGACGGUUUCAGUCCAUCGUUCAGACGAACUCUGACCAUCAGUUCUUCCUGUGGUUCC
Molecule: long non-coding RNA, 2518 nt
Organism: Acanthochromis polyacanthus (spiny chromis)
Lineage: Eukaryota; Metazoa; Chordata; Actinopteri; Pomacentridae
Exons: 3
Source: RefSeq, a predicted model, not a curated record